Molecule: ribosomal RNA, 507 nt
Filed under: uncultured bacterium
Lineage: Bacteria
Description: partial 16S ribosomal RNA
Rfam family: Bacterial small subunit ribosomal RNA
Source: RNAcentral
GACGAACGCUGGCGGCGUGCCUAAUACAUGCAAGUCGAACGCUUCUUUCCUCCCGAGUGCUUGCACUCAAUUGGAAAGAGGAGUGGCGGACGGGUGAGUAACACGUGGGUAACCUACCCAUCAGAGGGGGAUAACACUUGGAAACAGGUGCUAAUACCGCAUAACAGUUUAUGCCGCAUGGCAUAAGAGUGAAAGGCGCUUUCGGGUGUCGCUGAUGGAUGGACCCGCGGUGCAUUAGCUAGUUGGUGAGGUAACGGCUCACCAAGGCCACGAUGCAUAGCCGACCUGAGAGGGUGAUCGGCCACACUGGGACUGAGGCACGGCCCAGACUCCUACGGGAGGCAGCAGUAGGGAAUCUUCGGCAAUGGACGAAAGUCUGACCGAGCAACGCCGCGUGAGUGAAGAAGGUUUUCGGAUCGUAAAACUCUGUUGUUAGAGAAGAACAAGGACGUUAGUAACUGAACGUCCCCUGACGGUAUCUAACCAGAAAGCCACGGCUAACUACGU